RNAcentral lists this ribosomal RNA (305 nucleotides) under uncultured bacterium. RNAcentral's name for it is "bacterial SSU rRNA". It matches the Rfam family "Bacterial small subunit ribosomal RNA", at positions 333 to 636 of the family's 1533-position model. The record is from RNAcentral.
AUACUCCUACGGGAGGCAGCAGUGAGGAAUAUUGGUCAAUGGCCGGAAGGCUGAACCAGCCAAGCCGCGUGAAGGACGAAGGUGCCAAGCAUUGUAAACUUCUUUUGUCAAGGGACAAAAUCAGGCUCGAGAGCCUGACCGAGGGUACUUGAAGAAAAAGCAUCGGCUAACUCCGUGCCAGCAGCCGCGGUAAUACGGAGGAUGCGAGCGUUAUCCGGAUUUAUUGGGUUUAAAGGGUGCGUAGGCGGGCUGGUAAGUCAGCGGUAAAAGCCCGGGGCUCAAUCCCGGCGAGCCGGUGAAACUGG